GAUGAACGCUGGCGGCGUGCCUAAUACAUGCAAGUCGAGCGAACAGACGAGGAGCUUGCUCCUCUGACGUUAGCGGCGGACGGGUGAGUAACACGUGGAUAACCUACCUAUAAGACUGGGAUAACUUCGGGAAACCGGAGCUAAUACCGGAUAAUAUAUUGAACCGCAUGGUUCAAUAGUGAAAGACGGUUUUGCUGUCACUUAUAGAUGGAUCCGCGCCGCAUUAGCUAGUUGGUAAGGUAACGGCUUACCAAGGCAACGAUGCGUAGCCGACCUGAGAGGGUGAUCGGCCACACUGGAACUGGGACACGGUCCAGACUCCUACGGGAGGCAGCAGUAGGGAAUCUUCCACAAUGGGCGAAAGCCUGACGGAGCAACACCGCGUGAGUGAUGAAGGUCUUCGGAUCGUAAAACUCUGUUAUUGGGGAAGAACAAAUGUGUAAGUAACUAUGCACGUCUUGACGGUACCUAAUCAGAAAGCCACGGCUAACUACGUG
RNAcentral lists this ribosomal RNA (497 nucleotides) under uncultured bacterium. Its description in RNAcentral is "partial 16S ribosomal RNA". It matches the Rfam family "Bacterial small subunit ribosomal RNA", at positions 28 to 507 of the family's 1533-position model. The record is from RNAcentral.